Equus caballus (horse) is the source of this 610-nucleotide long non-coding RNA. RefSeq lists it as uncharacterized. Lineage: Eukaryota; Metazoa; Chordata; Mammalia; Perissodactyla; Equidae. The record is from RefSeq and is a predicted model, not a curated record.
CAGUUGGGAGUAUUGAAGGACUAGUGGUCUCUUGCCCUCUCGCGAGAUCGCUUGUGUCGGAUCCUUUGGAUAACGGAGAGCGCCAUAGCUAGGGAGCCGGAGCCGAGUCAGUCUUUGUCCGCGCGCGUUGUCUUCAAGUGGGAUUACAGCACAGUGCUUAGGGUUGCUGAGGACUUCAACCCCAAUAACUGUAAUGAGACUGCCUCCUUAGUGGCUUUGAUGAAGCAAGCAGUGAUGUUGACUCACAUGACGAGGGACUGUGGGUGGCCUUGAGCCAACAGCCAGCAAGAACCUAAACCCUGUCUACAACCCCCAGUGCCUGACUUAAGCUUUGAUUGCCGACGCAUCCACUUCAAAGAGGCAUCCACUUUAAAGAGGGCUAUCUCAAGUAAACACCCUGCCAGCCACCCGACUAGAUGAAGAGCUUCCCUUCACUGAGGCUCCUUUGUUUUAGAGAUCUUGCUUGGUUUCAAUAACUGACCAUUUGAGCUGCUUGUUUUCUCUCUUGCUGUGCUUUAAAUUCCUGCUCUUAUGUUUUAAAUUCACCAAUAAAGAGGGAGCCUAUGAAACCCAAGACCCCACCAUCGACCCCAAUAAAAGCAGAACCUCA